AUCAAUUCACAUAUUCAAAAUAUGCAUAUCUUGAAACCUUAUAGCUUAUACAAAUAGUAAUCAUAGUGAUAAAAUAAGAAGAACAACCUAUGAAUUGAGGGAGAAAAUAUAAACCUAGGACUAGCUGUCUGCGAUGUAGCCAAGUGGAUCAAGUUUGUGGAUUGUGAAUUCACAGUCACAAGUUCAAUCCCUGUUAUUCACCCAUCAAUUAAUGGAUCAUUUGCCAUCGAGACACCAAGAUGGACUUGUUUGGGUUACCCCAAGAUAUUUUAUUACAUCAUCUUUAGUGUAAGAAGCCCACAAUAGGAGAGUCAAAUCAGUCUGCAAUAAUGAAACAGAUGAGGCCCAUCAUUCUUUCCACCAAUGGAGUUGAACACAAUCAACCUUUUUGUAGCAAUCUUGAUCCCAUUUUGUUGAUAUAUUGCCAAGUUUUCAACACUCAUCCAUUUGUAUCAGCACCCA
Molecule: long non-coding RNA, 462 nt
Filed under: Elaeis guineensis (African oil palm)
Lineage: Eukaryota; Viridiplantae; Streptophyta; Magnoliopsida; Arecales; Arecaceae
Description: long non-coding RNA (EGUI_LNC036955)
Source: RNAcentral